CGUUCAGAGAACAGAAUGGUGUUCUUUACCCGUUGAAUCCAGUUUGAGCGGGCUGGGGGCGGGGGUGGCCAGACAAGCACAAACCUCUCAGGAGCCCUACCACGACAAGGCCAGAGAACACCCCGAUGACGGAAAGCAUCCAGAUGGAGGCCUCUACAACAAGGGACCCUCCUACUCGAGUUAUUCCGGGUACAUAAUGAUGCCAAAUAUGAAUAACGACCCAUACAUGUCAAAUGGAUCUCUUUCUCCACCCAUCCCGAGAACAUCAAAUAAAGUGCCCGUGGUGCAUCGACCCCAAAGGAACACUGACAUCAAUUUUACCCUGAGGUCACUGCUAGAGACGCUGAUCCAUAAAGACAAUCACUGCCAACCCCUCUUUCGUCUACUGCAAGAGCCAAGUUCCAAAAUAAAGCAUAAAAAGGUUUUUUAAAAGGAAAUGUAAAAGCACAUGAGAAUGCUAGCAGGCUGUGGGGCAGCUGAGCAGCUUUUCUCCCCUCAUAUCUGCGUGCACUUCCCAGAGCAUCUUGCAUCCAAACCUGUAACCUUUCGGCAAGGACGGUAACUUGGCUGCAUUUGCCUGUCAUGCGCAACUGGAGCCAGCAACCAGCACAUCCAUCAGCACCCCAGUGGAGGAGUUCAUGGAAGAGUUCCCUCUUUGUUUCUGCUUCAUUUUUCUUUCUUUUCUUUUCUCCUAAAGCUUUUAUUUAACAGUGCAAAAGGAUCGUUUUUUUUUGCUUUUUUAAACUUGAAUUUUUUUAAUUUACACUUUUUAGUUUUAAUUUUCUUGUAUAUUUUGCUAGCUAUGAGCUUUUAAAUAAAAUUGAAAGUUCUGGAAAAGUUUGAAAUAAUGACAUAAAAAGAAGCCUUCUUUUUCUGAGACAGCUUGUCUGGUAAGUGGCUUCUCUGUGAAUUGCCUGUAACACAUAGUGGCUUCUCCGCCCUUGUAAGGUGUUCAGUAGAGCUAAAUAAAUGUAAUAGCCAAACCCACUCUGUUGGUAGCAAUUGGCAGCCCUAUUUCAGUUUAUUUUUUCUUCUGUUUUCUUCUUUUCUUUUUUUAAACAGUAAACCUUAACAGAUGCGUUCAGCAGACUGGUUUGCAGUGAAUUUUCAUUUCUUUCCUUAUCACCCCCUUGUUGUAAAAAGCCCAGCACUUGAAUUGUUAUUACUUUAAAUGUUCUGUAUUUGUAUCUGUUUUUAUUAGCCAAUUAGUGGGAUUUUAUGCCAGUUGUUAAAAUGAGCAUUGAUGUACCCAUUUUUUAAAAAAGCAAGGCACAGCCUUUGCCCAAAACUGUCAUCCUAACGUUUGUCAUUCCAGUUUGAGUUAAUGUGCUGAGCAUUUUUUUAAAAGAAGCUUUGUAAUAAAACAUUUUUAAAAAU
Molecule: long non-coding RNA, 1377 nt
Filed under: Homo sapiens (human)
Lineage: Eukaryota; Metazoa; Chordata; Mammalia; Primates; Hominidae
Description: long non-coding RNA NONHSAT200271.1
Source: RNAcentral